GGGAUAGUAACUCUCGCAAGAGGGCGACUCCUAUUCACUUAUAAACACAAAGUCUAUGAAUGUAUUAAAUUUUAUAACAAAAUAAAACUUUCAACAACGGAUCUCUUGGCUCUCGCAUCGAUGAAGAACGCAGCGAAAUGCGAUAAGUAAUGUGAAUUGCAGAAUUCAGUGAAUCAUCGAAUCUUUGAACGCACCUUGCGCUCCAUGGUAUUCCGUGGAGCAUGCCUGUUUGAGUGUCAUGAAUACUUCAACCCUCCUCUUUCUUAAUGAUUGAAGAGGUGUUUGGUUUCUGAGCGCUGCUGGCCUUUAGGGUCUAGCUCGUUCGUAAUGCAUUAGCAUCCGCAAUCGAACUUCGGAUUGACUUGGCGUAAUAGACUAUUCGCUGAGGAAUUCUAGUCUUCGGACUAGAGCCGGGUUGGGUUAAAGGAAGCUUCUAAUCAGAAUGUCUACAUUUUAAGAUUAGAUCUCAAAUC
This 473-nucleotide ribosomal RNA is filed under the name Rhodotorula mucilaginosa. RNAcentral describes it as "eukaryotic LSU rRNA". The stretch from base 86 to 239 matches the Rfam family "5.8S ribosomal RNA". The record is from RNAcentral. Lineage: Eukaryota; Fungi; Basidiomycota; Microbotryomycetes; Sporidiobolales; Sporidiobolaceae.